AUUGAACGCUGGCGGCAGGCCUGACACAUGCAAGUCGAGCGGAUGAAGGGAGCUUGCUCCUGGAUUCAGCGGCGGACGGGUGAGUAAUGCCUAGGAAUCUGCCUGGUAGUGGGGGAUAACGUCCGGAAACGGGCGCUAAUACCGCAUACGUCCUGAGGGAGAAAGUGGGGGAUCUUCGGACCUCACGCUAUCAGAUGAGCCUAGGUCGGAUUAGCUAGUUGGUGGGGUAAAGGCCUACCAAGGCGACGAUCCGUAACAGGUCUGAGAGGAUGAUCAGUCACACUGGAACUGAGACACGGUCCAGACUCCUACGGGAGGCAGCAGUGGGGAAUAUUGGACAAUGGGCGAAAGCCUGAUCCAGCCAUGCCGCGUGUGUGAAGAAGGUCUUCGGAUUGUAAAGCACUUUAAGUUGGGAGGAAGGGCAGUAAGUUAAUACCUUGCUGUUUUGACGUUACCAACAGAAUAAGCACCGGCUAACUUCGUG
This 484-nucleotide ribosomal RNA is filed under the name uncultured bacterium. Its description in RNAcentral is "partial 16S ribosomal RNA". It matches the Rfam family "Bacterial small subunit ribosomal RNA", at positions 30 to 507 of the family's 1533-position model. The record is from RNAcentral.